UACGUAGGGUCCAAGCGUUAUCCGGAAUCACUGGGCGUAAAGCGUGCGUAGGCGGGAGUUUAAGUGAGAGGUUAAAUCGUGUGGCUCAACCAUAUCGAUGCUUCUCAUACUGGACACCUGGAGGACGGCAGAGGCAAGUGGAAUUGGCAGUGUAGCAGUGAAAUGCGUAGAGAUUGCCAGGAACACCAAUGGCGAAGGCAGCUUGCUGGGCCGACCCUGACGCUGAGGCACGAAAGCGUGGGGAGCGAACAGG
RNAcentral lists this ribosomal RNA (253 nucleotides) under uncultured bacterium. Its description in RNAcentral is "partial 16S ribosomal RNA". It matches the Rfam family "Bacterial small subunit ribosomal RNA", at positions 524 to 776 of the family's 1533-position model. The record is from RNAcentral.